UACAGAGGGUGCAAGCGUUAUCCGGAAUUACUGGGUUUAAAGGGUACGUAGGCGGUUAAUUAAGUCAGCAGUGAAAGCCUGUCGCUCAACGACGGAUGUGCUGUUGAUACUGGUUAACUUGAAAUGGGUUAGGGUUGGCGGAAUGGGUCAUGUAGCGGUGAAAUGCUUAGAUAUGACUUGGAACACCGAAAGCGAAGGCAGCUGACCGAACCUUGUUUGACGCUGAGGUACGAAAGUGUGGGUAGCGAACAGG
RNAcentral lists this ribosomal RNA (253 nucleotides) under uncultured bacterium. Its description in RNAcentral is "partial 16S ribosomal RNA". It matches the Rfam family "Bacterial small subunit ribosomal RNA", at positions 524 to 776 of the family's 1533-position model. The record is from RNAcentral.